RNAcentral lists this ribosomal RNA (497 nucleotides) under uncultured bacterium. Its description in RNAcentral is "partial 16S ribosomal RNA". It matches the Rfam family "Bacterial small subunit ribosomal RNA", at positions 28 to 507 of the family's 1533-position model. The record is from RNAcentral.
GAUGAACGCUGGCGGCGUGCCUAAUACAUGCAAGUCGAGCGAACAGACGAGGAGCUUGCUCCUCUGACGUUAGCGGCGGACGGGUGAGUAACCCGUGGGUAACCUACAUAUAAGACUGGGAUAACUUCGGGAAACCGGAGCUAAUACCGGAUAAUAUAUUGAACCGCAUGGUUCAAUAGUGAAAGACGGAUUUGCUGUCACUUAUAGAUGGAUCCGCGCCGCAUUAGCUAGUUGGUAAGGUAACGGCUUACCAAGGCAACGAUGCGUAGCCGACCUGAGAGGAUGACCGGCCACACUGGAACUGAGACACGGUCCAGACUCCUACGGGAGGCAGCAGUAGGGAAUCUUCGGCAAUGGGCGAAAGCCUGACGGAGCAACGCCGCGUGAGUGAUGAAGGUCUUCGGAUCGUAAAACUCUGUUAUUAGGGAAGAACAAAUGUGUAAUUAACUAUGCACGUCUUGACGGUACCUGAUCAGAAAGCAACGGCUAACUACGUG